Molecule: long non-coding RNA, 553 nt
Filed under: Glycine max (soybean)
Lineage: Eukaryota; Viridiplantae; Streptophyta; Magnoliopsida; Fabales; Fabaceae
Description: long non-coding RNA (GMAX_LNC004468)
Source: RNAcentral
AUAAAUCUAACAAUACAAUUGGCUAGGGUCAAUCUAUUGGUCUACAAAGUACAAACAUUGCCACCUGCCUAAUGCCUACCAAAUGUAUAUCAUUGUGGGGUAUAGGCAUGAGUAAUUGGAUCAAAUCAAUAUCUUUGCUUGUGGGGUUGAGGUUAGGGAGUACAACAAAAGAGGUAAUUAAGGAAGAAUCAAUGUUGGGAAGAAGCUGAAUUAAGUCAAUGGCAAGUUCUACUUUGAUGAGUUCGUGCUCUUUUGUCCUCUUGUUCGAAGUGGAGGUGAUGAAUCCCACACGAACGGCCAAGACCAAUUGACAUUGAUGAUUCAAAUCGAUGCUUUGAAAUUGUUAUAGAUAGGCAUUAUCUUUGUCCAAGGAAGGAAUAUCCGUUGGGUGUUUCUAAAUGUAAGUUCACUUUCGCCUACUUCAUCAUGUGGCCCCUUCCCUUUGGUUUUUACUUUUACGUGCAAUUUAAGCCACACAGUGUUGCUAAAGCGUUCAAGUCCUAAUGAUUAAUUACCCAUUAAACCGGUUUUACCAUAUGAGGUGGAAAUUCAU